GAAAAGAAGCUCUCAUUUCAUUGCUAAGGCAACAUCAACGUCAAGCGUUGAAAAGAAUUUACACAAGCCACUCUUUGAUCUAUCAUAUUGGUUGUCAACAUUAGUUGAAAAGAACAUGCUUCGAAUCAAUUUCUGGUUAGACCCUUUUUGUUCAACAAAUCUGUUAAAGAUCUAAACCUUCAUCAACUUGGGAACAUGGCUUUUGCAUUCUAACACUGCUUAUGCUA
RNAcentral lists this unclassified non-coding RNA (227 nucleotides) under Hevea brasiliensis (rubber tree). The record is from RNAcentral. Lineage: Eukaryota; Viridiplantae; Streptophyta; Magnoliopsida; Malpighiales; Euphorbiaceae.